UAGCCAAGUGGAUCAAGGCAGUGGAAUGUGA
Molecule: transfer RNA, 31 nt
Filed under: Cirsium cymosum var. canovirens
Lineage: Eukaryota; Viridiplantae; Streptophyta; Magnoliopsida; Asterales; Asteraceae
Also listed under: 27 other names
Description: partial tRNA-His
Source: RNAcentral